RNAcentral lists this ribosomal RNA (247 nucleotides) under uncultured bacterium. RNAcentral's name for it is "partial 16S ribosomal RNA". It matches the Rfam family "Bacterial small subunit ribosomal RNA", at positions 530 to 776 of the family's 1533-position model. The record is from RNAcentral.
GGGGGCUAGCGUUGUUCGGAAUUACUGGGCGUAAAGCGCGCGUAGGCGGACCUGCAAGUCGGGGGUGAAAGCCCGAGGCUCAACCUCGGAACUGCCUUCGAUACUGCGGGUCUCGAGUCCGGGAGAGGUGAGUGGAAUUCCUAGUGUAGAGGUGAAAUUCGUAGAUAUUAGGAAGAACACCAGUGGCGAAGGCGGCUCACUGGCCCGGUACUGACGCUGAGGCGCGAAAGCGUGGGGAGCAAACAGG